UAGUAAUCGUGGAUCAGCACGCCACGGUGAAUACGUUCCCGGGUCUUGUACACACCGCCCGUCACGCCAUGGAAGUCGGCAGUACCCAAAGCAGGUCGCUUAACCUUCGGGAGAGAGCCUGUUAAGGUAAGGCUGGUAACUGGGGCGAAGUCGUAACAAGGUAGCCGUACCGGAAGGUGCGGCUGGAUCACCUCCUUUCUAAGGAG
This 206-nucleotide ribosomal RNA is filed under the name Gammaproteobacteria bacterium. Its description in RNAcentral is "partial 16S ribosomal RNA". It matches the Rfam family "Bacterial small subunit ribosomal RNA", at positions 1336 to 1533 of the family's 1533-position model. The record is from RNAcentral. Lineage: Bacteria; Pseudomonadati; Pseudomonadota; Gammaproteobacteria.